GACGAACGCUGGCGGCGUGCUUAACACAUGCAAGUCGAACGGAAAGGCCCUGCUUUUGUGGGGUGCUCGAGUGGCGAACGGGUGAGUAACACGUGAGUAACCUGCCCUUGACUUUGGGAUAACUUCAGGAAACUGGGGCUAAUACCGGAUCGGAGCUCCUGCUGCAUGGUGGGGGUUGGAAAGUUUCGGCGGUUGGGGAUGGACUCGCGGCUUAUCAGCUUGUUGGUGGGGUAGUGGCUUACCAAGGCUUUGACGGGUAGCCGGCCUGAGAGGGUGACCAGCCACAUUGGGACUGAGAGACGGCCCAGACUCCUACGGGAGGCAGCAGUGGGGAAUAUUGCACAGUGGGCGGAAGCCUGAUGCAGCAACGCCGCGUGCGGGAUGACGGCCUUCGGGUUGUAAACCGCUUUCGCCUGUGACGAAGCGUGAGUGACGGUAAUGAGUAAAGAAGCACCGGCUAACUACGUG
This 468-nucleotide ribosomal RNA is filed under the name uncultured bacterium. Its description in RNAcentral is "partial 16S ribosomal RNA". It matches the Rfam family "Bacterial small subunit ribosomal RNA", at positions 28 to 507 of the family's 1533-position model. The record is from RNAcentral.